RNAcentral lists this long non-coding RNA (381 nucleotides) under Physcomitrium patens. RNAcentral's name for it is "long non-coding RNA (PPAT_LNC001093)". The record is from RNAcentral. Lineage: Eukaryota; Viridiplantae; Streptophyta; Bryopsida; Funariales; Funariaceae.
UUUAGGAUUUCAUUAGGAUUUGAUUUAAGUUUAGAAUUUUAUUAGGAUUUGAUUAGAAUUUGAUUAAAAUUUAGGAUUUCAGUAGGAUUUGGUUUAAGAUUUGAAUUUGAUUAGGAUUUUAUUAGGAUUUGGUUUGAGAUUAAGAUAGGAUUAGGAUUUGAUUAGAAUUUAGGAUUUCAUUAGAAUUGAUCUAGUAUUUAAGAUUUGAUUAGGAUUUAGGAUUUCAUUAGGGUUUUAUUAGGAUUUAAUCUAGUAUUUAAUUAAGAUUUAUUAAUAUUUUAAUUAGGAUUAAAUUAAGAUUUAUUUAAGAUUUAUUUAAGAUUUUUAUUUUUAAUAUUUCUUUAAGAAAUUUUUUAUUUCUUUAAAUUUUCUAUUUAUAAA